This 73-nucleotide transfer RNA is filed under the name Seleniivibrio woodruffii. It matches the Rfam family "tRNA". Rfam says of the family: Transfer RNA (tRNA) molecules are approximately 80 nucleotides in length. Their secondary structure includes four short double-helical elements and three loops (D, anti-codon, and T loops). The record is from Rfam by way of RNAcentral. Lineage: Bacteria; Pseudomonadati; Deferribacterota; Deferribacteres; Deferribacterales; Geovibrionaceae.
UCCCUGAUAGCUCAAUCGGCAGAGCAAUUGACUGUUAAUCAAUAGGUUACUGGUUCAAGUCCAGUUCAGGGAG